This 1002-nucleotide unclassified non-coding RNA is filed under the name Hevea brasiliensis (rubber tree). Lineage: Eukaryota; Viridiplantae; Streptophyta; Magnoliopsida; Malpighiales; Euphorbiaceae. The record is from RNAcentral.
AAAAGCAUAAGAUUUCCAGAAUAAAUGAGUAUUACAGAUACUACAAUAAUGUGCAUUCUACACUCAUACAUGAGCUUAGCUAUAACGCUGCAUAAUGCUCAGAGCUAGGAUACACAAUUUACAAUUCUCACACUAACAAAAGAAAAAUGUAAAUGUCGUAAAAUAUCACAAUCUAGGUUGUUAUACCACCUAGCAUCAAGAUAAUAUAGUGAUGUUAAUUACAUUUACUGCCACUGUUAAUGCUAAAAUCCGCGGUGCCCAACUGCUAGCAACCAUGGCUAAGGGAUAAUCAGUUAUCAUCUUCAUCAUUAUCAUCAGUAUCUACAAAGCUAAAAUUCAUUCGUCCAUCGAGCUUGAUAAGCAAUGUUCCUCUAUUCUCCUCGGUCCAUUCAAUAUGUUCUUUCUUCAAAAGUUCAACUACCGAGUUUUUCAGCUUCGACUUCCCAACGCCAUGUGCCCCACAUCCCGUGAUAACUCUGAACAACCUAACAGAGCGUACAAAUGCUCCAAACAGAAGGUGCAGUUUCAAAAGCCUCAUUGCUGGUUUGACAUGUUGGCCAUGCAAGUCAAUAGUUAUCAUAUUUUCUAUGUUCUUGUUUCUAGCUGCAAAUAUAUCCUGGCUAGCCUUUGCAUCAGCUUCUCGAGCCUUUCUGUUGUGUAGCCUACCCUGAUCCGCAAGAUAAGCAGCAUGUCCCUUUUGGCCAUUUGAAAAAGCUGUUGCAGCCUUCUGAUAAUGGGAUCUCAUUGACUCCCAAUGUUGCUUUGCAGUUUCCCUGAACAGCUGAUACUCAGCUCCCUCAGCAUGAGUAUGCUGCAGUGGUGGAAUAUCAUUAGGACAAGAUCCAGAUCUUUGUCCCAAAGAUGUCAUUUUCUUUACUACAUUCUUCCAGUUCAUAGUAGUUGGUUCAUGUUCAACACUCUUGGGGGUUGGCAUACAGAACAAAGAUUCCAGAAUAUCUUGAGGAAGUACUGAUCCAGAAUUUCCUACUGUAGAUGAUGAAG